UUACGAGGCCUCGUAAUCGGAAUGAGUACACUUUAAAUAUUUUAACGAGGAACAAUUGGAGGGCAAGUCUGGUGCCAGCAGCCGCGGUAAUUCCAGCUCCAAUAGCGUAUACUAAAAUUGUUGCGGUUAAAAAGCUCGUAGUUGCAUUUGUGCGCCGCGCUGUCGGUGCAUCGCCUCUGGCGGUGAUACUGACACGUCCGCGGAGCAUAUCGUCGGUGAGCGCGACGGUAAAACGGCGCGCUCAAUAUCAAAAAUCCUAUCGCGGUGCUCUUCACCGAGUGUCGAGGUGGGCCGACAAUUUUACUUUGAACAAAUUAGAGUGCUCAAAGCGGGCAGAACAUUUCCGCUCGUAUAUUUAGUGCAUGGAAUAAUAGAAUAUGAUCUCGGUUCUAUUUUGUUGGUUUUCAGAACUCCGAGGUAAUGAUUAAUAGGGAUAACUGGGGGCAUUCGUAUUGCGACGUUAGAGGUGAAAUUCUUGGAUCGUCGCAAGACGAACAUCAGCGAAAGCAUUUGCCAAAGGUGUUUUCAUCAAUCAAGAACGAAAGUUAGAGGUUCGAAGGCGAUUAGAUACCGCCCUAGUUCUAACCGUAAAUAUGUCGUCUAGCGAUCCGCCGACGUUACUACAACGGCUCGGCGGGCAGCUUCCGGGAAACCAAAGAUUUUGGACUCCGGGGGGAGUAUGGUUGCAAAGCUGAAACUUAAAGGAA
RNAcentral lists this ribosomal RNA (707 nucleotides) under Stigmella sp. NP01. RNAcentral describes it as "SSU rRNA". It matches the Rfam family "Eukaryotic small subunit ribosomal RNA", at positions 493 to 1152 of the family's 1831-position model. The record is from RNAcentral. Lineage: Eukaryota; Metazoa; Arthropoda; Insecta; Lepidoptera; Nepticulidae.